UAUGCUGGUUUGUCAUGUUUUAUUAUUAUUUAUUUUACAUUUUAUGAGUAUAUUUUUAGAAAAAAGCCCUCUCCGUCUUUCGUAUUUUCAUCCGAGGCCCAAGACUUUAUCAAAAUCUCCGUCUGUCUGUCCGUCGCACCAAAUUACAAAACUGCCUCUGUUAGGAGUUAGGGUUUCGUCCAAGGCGGAGCUGGGCGGUUUCCGAUCUUCCUGAUUGCUCUCUUGUCGUAGGUACCAUCUGCUCUGCUCUGUGCUUCACAGGGCAAAGUAGGAAAAAUUGUUGUUAGUGUACAAGUUUCAUUCUAAGAAAUAUUCCUAGUAGGCUUAAAGUUGAGGCGGAAGGAUGCCUCGUGACUUGGCACGGUCACAAUCACGAUCACCUUCUUAUAGGCGAAGGCUUUCGCCAUCUCCAGUGGGGUAUAGGUCUAGCAGGAGAAGCCGCAGAGACAGAAGCCGGUCUCCAUAUUCCUCGUAUUCUUAUAGCAGGUGAUCCCGUUAAUAUUCCGGCUUUUUUGUGAUCAUUUAACUGAUUCUCAAUCAAUUGCUGGAAAGAUUGAAGCGUCGCAUAUCGCUGAUGUGAUUUGGUUUACAUAAUGUUCGAGUUUCUAUGUACGCAUCUUCUCAUCCUUAUUUUUAGGUCUUUUGGUACUUUUUUAUGUCUAGUGUGAAUCCUGUUCGUAGACUUGCAUGUUACAAGAGACAGUGAUGUAUGUAAUUUGUUAAAUAUCUGACCAAGGAUUUUGGUAUUGGCUGUCAGAUUUUUUCGCUUGGAACACUUGGAUUAGUUUCGUUUAGAACAUUGUUUCAUUUCCCAAUCGUGAAGUCUUGUAAAUCUGUUUUAUAGAAAAUGAAUAUGUGCAUUCAAGUUUACCUGGAACCUAUUAUGUUGAUGUUGAGGUCACAGCUAAACGGAGCAUUCUCAUGAAAUAUCACUCUGAGUCGAUAUUCUGGAUGCUAAUUGCUAAUAUUUGACCAUUUUCCCUCAAACCUUCAAGUGGACAGGAAUUAGUUGUUCCAUUGCCUGGGCUUGGUAUGCUUUGACAUUUUUUGUUCUGAGUUUUCUUUUCCCAUCUUCAACUACAGUUGUGGUUUGUUGGUUUCGUUGCUGUCAUGCUAAUGCCAAAGAAUUGCUGACGUUGUCAUAAAAUCUGAUGGUUGGCUCAUUUUGGAUCUAACAUUGAUGGACAUGUGACCUUUGGAAAAAAUAAAUUAGUUCUUGAUUCUUUAUAAAUAACUGGAUAAGAGUCUUGUAUGAAAAUAUGGAUUAAAAUAUAGAGUUGCCAGAGUGAUAUAAGGUUGCAUGCUCUUCCUAAGAAUUUAAAAGAAUUCAGAUUCUUCCCAUCAAAUGGGAAGUGAGCAGGUGAUGUUUGUUGUUGGAUUUCCUUUUGUUGCUCGAUUGUGACCCUUGCUUCUUCAUGUGAUAAAAGAUGGAGCACACAAAGGUUAUACUUAACAAUGUAUGAGGUAACCGUACAUGUUUCUAUAUAUUUUGUGCUACAUGGUGGACAGACUUGAUAGUUAUUGAUUAUGUGUAGUCAUGUCCAGUUUUAAUUGCUGUUGCUAAUAGCUUUGUUUUUAGUAUACAGACGGAAAAGUAGUUCAAUUACCCCUAAGCACUGAAGAAAUCGUUCUCCAACUCCAAGACGUCGUAAAAGUCGUUCACUGACCCCAAGAUGUCAUAAAACUCGUUCUCCAACCCCAAGACGCCGUAAAAGUCGUUCUCCAACCCCAAGACGCCGUAAAAGUCGUUCUCCAACCCCAAGACGCCGUAAAAGUCGUUCUCCAGUUUUGAAGCGCUAUAAGAGGCAAAGAAGUAGGAGCUCCUCCUUGUCUCCUAUUCGUAAAUCUUCUAGUUCAAGUCUUGGAUUGUUGGAGCAGAAAAAUGCCAGUGAGAAAUUGAGAAAGGAAGAAGAAGAAGAGAAGAAAAGCAGGUUUACUUGACAUUCUCCUCCACAGGCUUUUCUGAAGGAUGAUACUGCUUUAGUUCAACUUGUAAUUUGAUGAUCAAAAUGGGUGCAUCGUUUAUCUACUGUUCACCAGUUGUGAAACUCAUAUGUUUGGAUCAGAAUACAUUAGAGGCGGCAACAGGAAGCAGAAUUGAAACUGCUUGAAGAAGAGACUUCAAGAAGAGUGGAAGAAGCAAUUCGUAGGAAGGUUGAGGAGAGCUUAAACUCUGAUGAGAUUAAAGUGGAAAUACAGAGGCAGUUGGAGGAAGGACAGAAGAAGCUCCUUACUGAAGUGGCAGCGCAACUUGAGAAAGAAAAGGAAGCAGCUCUGAUUGAGGCUAGGCGUAAGGAGGAACAAGCUCGAAGAGAAAAAGAAGAGCUGGAAGGGAUGCUUGAAGAGAACCGGAGGAGAGUGGAAGAAGCUCAAAGAAGGGAGGCUUUGGAGCAGCAGCGGAGGGAGGAGGAGAGAUACAAGGAGCUGGAAGAA
Non-coding RNA from Malus domestica (apple), 2433 nucleotides. NCBI's taxonomy places the organism in Eukaryota, Viridiplantae, Streptophyta, Magnoliopsida, Rosales, Rosaceae. The record is from RefSeq and is a predicted model, not a curated record.